RNAcentral lists this ribosomal RNA (535 nucleotides) under Colletotrichum gloeosporioides. RNAcentral describes it as "eukaryotic LSU rRNA". The stretch from base 174 to 327 matches the Rfam family "5.8S ribosomal RNA". The record is from RNAcentral. Lineage: Eukaryota; Fungi; Ascomycota; Sordariomycetes; Glomerellales; Glomerellaceae.
GGGCAACUGGUACGCUCUACACCCUUUGUGACAUACCUAUAACUGUUGCUUCGGCGGGUAGGGUCUCCGUGACCCUCCCGGCCUCCCGCCCCCGGGCGGGUCGGCGCCCGCCGGAGGAUAACCAAACUCUGAUUUAACGACGUUUCUUCUGAGUGGUACAAGCAAAUAAUCAAAACUUUUAACAACGGAUCUCUUGGUUCUGGCAUCGAUGAAGAACGCAGCGAAAUGCGAUAAGUAAUGUGAAUUGCAGAAUUCAGUGAAUCAUCGAAUCUUUGAACGCACAUUGCGCCCGCCAGCAUUCUGGCGGGCAUGCCUGUUCGAGCGUCAUUUCAACCCUCAAGCUCUGCUUGGUGUUGGGGCCCUACAGCUGAUGUAGGCCCUCAAAGGUAGUGGCGGACCCUCCCGGAGCCUCCUUUGCGUAGUAACUUUACGUCUCGCACUGGGAUCCGGAGGGACUCUUGCCGUAAAACCCCCAAUUUUCCAAAGGUUGACCUCGGAUCAGGUAGGAAUACCCGCUGAACUUAAGCAUAUCAAA